AGAGCGAACGCUGGCGGCAUGCUUAACACAUGCAAGUCGCACGGUCAGGUUUCGGCCUGGUAGUGGCGGACGGGUGAGUAACGCGUAGGUAUCUAUCCGAAGGUGGGGGAUAACGGCGGGAAACUGCUGCUAAUACCGCAUAUGACCUGAGGGUCAAAGGUCGCAAGACCGCCUGUGGAGGAGCCUGCGUACGAUUAGCUUGUUGGUGGGGUAAAGGCCUACCAAGGCGACGAUCGUUAGCUGGUCUGAGAGGAUGAUCAGCCACAUUGGGACUGAGACACGGCCCAAACUCCUACGGGAGGCAGCAGUGGGGAAUAUUGGACAAUGGGGGCAACCCUGAUCCAGCAAUGCCGCGUGUGUGAAGAAGGUCUUCGGAUUGUAAAGCACUUUCGACGGGGACGAUGAUGACGGUACCGUAUAAGAGCCCGGCUAACUUCGUGCCAGCAGCCGC
This 451-nucleotide ribosomal RNA is filed under the name uncultured bacterium. RNAcentral describes it as "SSU rRNA". It matches the Rfam family "Bacterial small subunit ribosomal RNA", at positions 26 to 518 of the family's 1533-position model. The record is from RNAcentral.